UCUUUAACAUAUGAAUAAAAGUUCUUCAACUUCCCUGUCUGACAAUUCUAACAUGUGUCAUGUCUGAGUCUGCCUGCUUUUUCUCUUCUGGUUGUGUUUUUCUUGCCUCUUCAUAUGACCUGUGAUUUUUUUGUUGAAAUCUGGCAUGACAUAUUGGGCAAUAGUAACUGAGGAAACAGGCUUUUAGUGUGAAGUUUUAUGAUACCCCGACUAGGAACUGACUGUGUUUCAUGCUUGUUGUAGCGAGUACCAGACUCGUCAAAUUCCUUCUUUGCUUGCCAUUGUCCCUCGGCCUUCCCCGGUGACUCCUCUGCAGAGACGUCUACUUCUUACAGUUCUUUCAGCUGGAAUCCACUGCUGGCAGGGUGGUAAAGAGUGUAGUGGGGAGGCACACGCAGUGAUCUUUGAGGCUGAGAGAAGCUGAGGAACUUCCUGAGAUCACACAGCGACUCCGUAACACAGUGGAGAGCUUUGUCCAGAUUGCCUGGUUCCAAGGCCUAAGCAUCACCAUCAAGGCAGACACAAGAAUUGAGGCUCGUUGUUGUCUCAGCUGAAUUAUGAAGGUCUGUAAAACAUCAGUGGCUUGAGGUCAAGGGAAAUGUGGCCCAGGCAUGUGGCUGCUGCCAGGAAGCCGUUUCAAUGCCAGUAAGAAGCGUGACAUUAGUUGUUCAGCUAUACAUCCACUCAACAAAGACCUGCUGAGAGCCUCUCAUCUGUCUCUCAGGUAUUGGGAUUUGGCAGCAAACCAAACAGGGAAGGUUGCUUUCUGAAUGCAGAAUUCAUCCUGAAGGGGAGAGCAGACAGAGCAGCAUAGAAAAGCAAUGCAGAUAAUUCUAGCAUGACAGAGAAAAUACAACAAAACAGUGAUCUCUGUGCAGGGGGAGUGGGGAAAGCCUCUCUGAGGGGGUGCCAUAUAAAUGACUGAGUCCUGGCUCACAGGGAGCUCAGGAAGAGCCUGGGACCGUGGUGCACCACCGGCAGAGGCCUGGCAUCAGAAAUGAACCUGAGAUGAGCCACAACAGCAAGAAGAUGGAAGCUCUAGGGCAGCAAAGAAGGGACCACGUGUAGGAAAUGGACAGUGUCCAUUCCAGAUGAAGCUCUGCUUCACCACGGUGCUGAGGAAUUUGGGGAGCCCAUCAGGGGACAUGAAGCAGGAAAGGUCACUCUACAUUUUACAGGGGACUGUUGGUGAGGAAGAGCGGGAACAGGGAGUCUAGUGUGAGAUUUCUUUUGAGAGGCCAUGCUAAGUUUCCAAUGGUUGCUGCAAGGUGGCGAAGGGGCUCGAACACAAAGGGUGCCAAGCAAUUUGUCCUGGUGCUAAAGGUAAAAUGUCCUCUUUGUUCCAUGUCCCCUGAAUCCUAUACCCUGAAAAACCAUUGCAUAUUCUGAGUAAUUCACCUUUGGCUCACUGAGGUUGUUUAGAAAGAGACAAGAGGCAAAGACACAUGAAUAUUUGUUCAGGUACCCAGAAGUUACUUGAGAAAGAGCGUUUGGGAGAAGGACAGAUGAUACAAUAGUCUCAGGAAAAGCUUCAGAAUUAUUUCCAAGUAACUAUUAAUACGUGAUGCAUGUCCUAGUUAGUCAAACCAAUAGAUACUGUUCAUGUACAUCUACCAGUGGGAGCUGAAAUCAAAUCCAAAUUUUACAGAGCAGCCUUACAAAUGCAUUUUGUAAUACAAUUAUUUUUCCAUGCAAGGAAAUGCCUGUCCUUAUAAAACAAGCACACAUUGUUUUUUCUGCUUACUUUCUCAAUUAUCACAAAUAGAUAAUUCUUUUUAACUAGAAGUGUUAAAAUAUAAAGAGAAAGGAUACUUUAUAGUCUAGAAAGGUUAUAUCCUGUAUGAUUCCAAUUUUAUACAUUCUGGAAAAGACAACACUGUAGAGACAGUGAAAAAUAAUCAAGGGUUUCUAGGGGUUCAUAAGAAGGGGAGAGCACUGAAUAGGUGAAACAGGUUGCAUUUUUUUUAGGGUGGUGAAACUAUUCACUAGAUACUGUAAUGGUGGGUACGUGGCAUGACACAUUUGUCAAAAACCAUAGAACUUUACAGAACAGGGGGUGAACCUUAAUCUGGAAACUUAAAAUUCAUUUAGAAAGUUGGAGAUCCCAGGAUAGAAUGCAGACGACGACACAAAGCAUAAAUGCAUUACAGAUGUGCAAAACAACCUCCCCGAAGGGGGUGGGAGCAAACCAUGAGCAGGGAUGCAGCUGGGAAGUGGGGGGUCUGAGCCGAAGCCAAAGCAACCUUCACCAGACUGCGCUCUGCUGGGGAAGUUUGUCCCCACACGGGCAUGCGAAUCAGUUCUGCCCCUGCUGCAUUUAUAUGGAUUUGAACAAUUAAGUAAAUGUCUGAGGAAUAUGGUGGGAGCAUGGAGGUCCCAGAUGAGCAGGGGAAGGAGGCUGGGUGAUCCACGCGGUAGCAGACUCGAGUUGGAAACCAGCAGAACUCACGUUUAGCUAAUACAGAUACAGGGGUUCGCAGAAAGAAAUACUUGCAGAUGCGUGUAAACACACAGGACAAUACACGCUCAUAGAUUACGUGCUCUGCCUGCUGAGAGAGCCUAAAGGAAAUAUCCCAGGAAGUAAGUGCGUCUAGUGCCCAGAUCUUGGUCUCUAAUCCCAUUCUUAAAUUUAAAAAGCCAAGGCUCCUUGGAUAAGUAUCUGGUUGUAGGACCGGAAUAUGGGAUAUACAACAUGUAUAUCUUGUAGUGUCAGAAAGUAGGCAAGUGCUCAGAAAAGAAGACCGACAUUGGUGGAGAGAUGCUAACAUGACACGGGAGCAAACCGAAAGAACUCCCAAAGGCCCAAGCCGGAAGAGUUUGAACAAAAAAAAUAGUUUGGGAUUAUUUUUAAAAGUAUAAGAUAAAUUUCCAGGAAUCCAUAAUGAUAUAAAUGAUUGAAUAAAUAAAUAAAUGGGGGAGAAUGGACAAAUCUCCUGUGAAGAACUCCAAAUAAUUUACGUGUGUCCUCUGUCCUCAAGGAAGGGAGGUAUAAUUCCCAAUGCCUUCAGCAGGGCUGUACAUAGUGACUUCUUUCCACAAAAUAAGGGGGAGGAGGGAACAGUAAGUGUUCAGUGGAGAAGCCUGGCUAACAUUACCUGGUCAGGGGGUCAAGGUCAGCAUCAGCAAUGAUAAAUCAUAUUGACAGUGUAGAACUUGACAGAAUGUGAUGAAGACGGCACUUUAAUUCUGUGAUCUUCCUCCUCCAGUGUAAAUAAGAGAGAAACAUCAGACAAAUUCCAACAAAGCCAUGGUCUACAAGAGUCUUCCUCAAAGCUGUCAUGGUUAUCAAAGACAUGGGAAGUUUAAGAAACUGUCACAGCCAAGUGGAGCCUAAGAAGGUGACAACUAAAUGGGAUCCUGGAACAGAAAAAGGACACCAGGCUCUGUGAUGCGGCGAGGUGACCGGAGCAGCCACUGGAGAGAAACAAGCCUCAGGCUGCUGGCCACAGAGGAGCUCCAGACCAGGACCGGCCCCAGUGGGUCCUGCCGAGUGAGGUGGCCAUCCCAAAGGGCGAUCAGCAUCCCCAAUGACGUCGCGCUUCCUUGAACCUUCAAGGAGCAGACAGAAGCACAGAUCAGAACAAAUACUCACCUCAAUAGCUUAACUUUUUAAAUAAUCGGUUGUACAAUUUAAAAAUUAAAUUAUUUAAUUAAAACAUUCAAAUUUAAAAUUAAAAAAAUGAGAAGUUUUUAAAAAUGAAAACAUCCGUUUAAAACAGAAACCUCUUGAUUACAGAAGAGUCAGAGGAUGGGACUCAUACUGAACGGGGCCACUUCUGUCUCUGCGGGCGUGUCAGCGAUGCGCACUGGGCCUCCAUCAGGCUCCUGCGCUGAGGGCAGGGGCUGUGGGUCUGACCCACCAGGGGAGCCUGGACACACACUUUCAC
Manis pentadactyla (Chinese pangolin) is the source of this 3887-nucleotide long non-coding RNA. RefSeq lists it as uncharacterized. NCBI's taxonomy places the organism in Eukaryota, Metazoa, Chordata, Mammalia, Pholidota, Manidae. The transcript has 5 exons. The record is from RefSeq and is a predicted model, not a curated record.